RNAcentral lists this unclassified non-coding RNA (616 nucleotides) under Hevea brasiliensis (rubber tree). Lineage: Eukaryota; Viridiplantae; Streptophyta; Magnoliopsida; Malpighiales; Euphorbiaceae. The record is from RNAcentral.
GAAAUGGCAGUGGAAGAAGAAGACACGAGCACCGUUCCAAGGACAGGGUUGCAGGAGUGGAAGCUUGUCCAAUCUCUCCUCCACGACAUCGUUUCCGAUGGCCACGUCUCGAUCCCUCCUCCGUCCACGAAAUUCGAAAUAUUGUAAUCAACUUCUCCUCUCUACAUUAUCUGCUUCGCAAUUGAUUUGUUCUGAUAUGAAAUCACUCUUUAUUGUAGGAUCGAUUGAUUCUUCUAUGAUGUUUCAGAUGGCAGGCAUUAACACUGGAGAGAAUAUUUUCUCCUUUGUUGUCCAUUGUUCGUAAUAAAAUAAUUGAAUUAGGGAUUGCUUGCUUUUGUUUAAUAAUUUCAAAAAUCUCAUCAGAAGAUGAGAUUCAUGAAAUCAUGAAACCCAUAUGCAUCAUUUUUUAUUGCUUGGUUAGGGUUUGAAAACUCACUCUACCCAUGGAGUGUAAUUCUUAAUACUACCACAAAGCAAUUAUUUUGGGGAAUGGGGAUUCCACUUUAAAUUGAUGAGUGAAAGUUGGCAUUCUCGUGUGGUUCAUUACUAUAACCAAAGAUGUAAUCUUCUGUGUCCCUGGUCCGGGUCCUUGUUCAAGGAAAUGUACAACAUUUUU